GGGAGGGGGGAGGGGGUGUGGGCCCCAGCCCACCCCACCCCAGGGAAUGCAGGGGAGAGGGCCUGGGCCUGGCCUUGCUGCUGGUCCCCUGGGGACUUCUGAGGGCCCGCGGGGGUCCCUGGGUCACAGUGCAGCCACACUGGCCUCUGGGCUCCUUUCAUCCACAGGCCGCCUGGUGAGCCCCGCAGCCUCACCCACGUGGGGAGGGGCUGCUGAGGCCUCCUUGCCUUUCUUGGUGGGCGCCCUACGCCUCGGGGGUCCUACCCUCCUCUUCUGUGCAGCCCCAACGUGGCUUUGCCCCCUUCUCCAAACUUCUGCCUUGGGCCAUGGGGCGCAGGCCGUGGGGAUGCUGUCUGCCUGCUUUAGAGAAACCUGGGGCACCGAUGACAAAUACAGGCUCUGCUUGGCCUGUGGGACGGUUGCAUCCUGGGCCUUCCGGUGGUGUCAGGAGACUCCAGGCCCUUGAAAGGCAGCUGCGACCCCGGGUAUGACUCGGAGAAGUCCAGGAGCAGGAAAUGGGCUGCAUUCCUUCGGGGCCCCUCCGUGCACCCCAGCCCCUCCCUGGGAGAGCUGCCCUGAGGUCAGGAAAGUGCCGUCCUGGCAAGACCCUCAGCAGCUGCCGCCCACAGGACAGUCAGCGUUUUCAAGCAUGGGAAGGAAAAUAAACACGAGGUUAAAAAGGGGUCUGUUGGCCCCGGGCUGGUUUGUUUUUCCUGUGUAAGGGAGGCAACGGGAAUGAGAACCAUCUGUGCCCUGAGCGCAGCGCAAGCUGCCUGCUGGGCCCACGUGCCCUCCCCCAAAG
RNAcentral lists this long non-coding RNA (802 nucleotides) under Homo sapiens (human). Its description in RNAcentral is "HSALNT0355424". The record is from RNAcentral. Lineage: Eukaryota; Metazoa; Chordata; Mammalia; Primates; Hominidae.